GAUGAAGAACGUAGCGAAAUGCGAUAAGUAAUGUGAAUUGCAGAAUUCAGUGAAUCAUCGAAUCUUUGAACGCACAUUGCGCCCGCCAGUAUUCUGGCGGGCAUGCCUGUUCGAGCGUCAUUUCAACCAUCAAGCCCCAGGCUUGUGUUGGAGCCCUGCGGCUGCCGCAGCCUCCCAAAACCAGUGGCGGGCUCGCUAUCACACCGCGUGCAGUAGUUUACUCUUCGCUCAGGGCGUGUGGCGGGUGCUAGCCGUAAAACCCCCAACUUCUCAAGGUUGACCUCGGAUCAGGUAGGAAUACCCGCUGAACUUAAGCAUAUCAAUAAGCGGAGGA
Molecule: unclassified non-coding RNA, 334 nt
Filed under: soil metagenome
Description: partial contains 5.8S ribosomal RNA, internal transcribed spacer 2, and large subunit ribosomal RNA
Rfam family: 5.8S ribosomal RNA (bases 1-120)
Source: RNAcentral